GAAUAAACCAUAUACGCCUUUCUU
Molecule: non-coding RNA, 24 nt
Filed under: Arabidopsis thaliana (thale cress)
Lineage: Eukaryota; Viridiplantae; Streptophyta; Magnoliopsida; Brassicales; Brassicaceae
Source: RNAcentral